UUCGCAAUGCCCGAAAGGGUGACGAAGCGACGCCGCGUGGGUGAGGAAGGCCUUCGGGUUGUAAAGCCCUGUCAGGAGUUAAGAAAUGUAAGUGCGCUAAUAUCGCAUUUAUUUGACAAAGGCUCCAAAGGAAGCCACGGCUAACUCUGUGCCAGCAGCCGCGGUAAUACAGAGGUGGCAAGCGUUGUUCGGAAUUAUUGGGCGUAAAGAGCACGUAGGUGGAUUUGUAAGUCAGGUGUGAAAGCCUUCUGUUCAACGGAAGAAUUGCAUCUGAAACUGCAAAUCUUGAGUGUAGGAGGGGAGAAUGGAACUUCUGGUGGAGCGGUGAAAUGCGUAGAUAUCAGAAGGAACGCCGGCGGCGAAAGCGAUUCUCUGGCCUAUUACUGACACUGAGUGUGCGAAAGCUAGGGGAGCAAACGGGAUUAGAUACCCCGGUAGUCCUAGCCGUAAACGAUGGGCACUAAGUAGAGGGGUUUU
RNAcentral lists this ribosomal RNA (477 nucleotides) under uncultured Candidatus Scalindua sp. RNAcentral's name for it is "bacterial SSU rRNA". It matches the Rfam family "Bacterial small subunit ribosomal RNA", at positions 365 to 832 of the family's 1533-position model. The record is from RNAcentral. Lineage: Bacteria; Pseudomonadati; Planctomycetota; Candidatus Brocadiia; Candidatus Brocadiales; Candidatus Scalinduaceae.